RNAcentral lists this ribosomal RNA (450 nucleotides) under uncultured bacterium. RNAcentral describes it as "partial 16S ribosomal RNA". It matches the Rfam family "Bacterial small subunit ribosomal RNA", at positions 354 to 796 of the family's 1533-position model. The record is from RNAcentral.
GUGGGGAAUUUUGGACAAUGGGCGAAAGCCUGAUCCAGCAAUGCCGCGUGUGUGAAGAAGGCCUUCGGGUUGUAAAGCACUUUUGGCAGGAAAGAAAUAGUGCGUGCUAAUACCAUGCGCGAAUGACGGUACCUGCAGAAUAAGCACCGGCUAACUACGUGCCAGCAGCCGCGGUAAGACGUAGGGUGCAAGCGUUAAUCGGAAUUACUGGGCGUAAAGCGUGCGCAGGCGGUUUUGUAAGACAGGUGUUAAAUCCCCGGGCUCAACCUGGGAACUGCACUUGUGACUGCAAGGCUAGAGUGUGUCAGAGGGAGGUGGAAUUCCGCGUGUAGCAGUGAAAUGCGUAGAGAUGCGGAGGAACACCGAUGGCGAAGGCAGCCUCCUGGGAUAACACUGACGCUCAGGCACGAAAGCGUGGGGAGCAAACAGGAUUAGAAACCCGUGUAGUCC